Non-coding RNA from Lonchura striata (white-rumped munia), 898 nucleotides. The record is from RefSeq and is a predicted model, not a curated record. NCBI's taxonomy places the organism in Eukaryota, Metazoa, Chordata, Aves, Passeriformes, Estrildidae.
CCUCGGCCGCGCCGCCCUGCAGCCGCCCGGGCCGGCCCGGGACAGGCCCUGGCGGCUCCCGCGUCCCCGCACCGGGCCCAUGGUCCCUGCUCCUGCCUGGAUAGCAUCCAAGCGCCGCGCCGGAGCGCCUCGGGCGGGACUCGGAGAUGCUGCGUUAACUGUGCUCUUCCCUGCGGGGAAUGGGAACAGCGGGGCCAAGCGGACAGGUGCCUGUUUGGGUAAAGAUUUUUGUUCAGAAACGCGAACGUGGCUAUGCAUACACACUAAUUUCUUUAGUGAAGCCAAAGGAAUUACCUCCACACUCACACUAAUGAGUAAAAUCUCCGAUCGCGUAGUCUUGUUAAAAUUAGAAGUCCAAGAUAGAUGACAAAACUACUUUAACUUUCCCAAGCUUUAAAAUCCUGUUUAAAUACACUCAUUGGUUUGUCAAGGACAUGAUCAGAAAAGAUUUUUAGGUUCUAACAUGCCCAUGGUAUAGGCUUUGUAUUCCACAAGGAAAAAGACAUAAGUAUCUCUGUUGGAGACAUCACAAACAUCCACCCAUUGCAGAGCUAUGCCAAAAUACUCAGGAGAUGGGGAACACCAGGUAGAAUGGACUCAGGCUCACCAGUUUGGACACAAUCUGUUACCUCUGCAAAGGCAUCCUAGAAGGUUGUAGUAGCCCAUCAUGCCUCACAAUGCUGCUGGCAGGAAAUCUUUCUCUGAGACUUCUGCAAAGCUGCCUCCACACACACAGUGCCAAAUCUUUUAGCACAGCAAGGGCUAGAACACAGUCCCAUUCACACAACCAGAGAGGCCCUUCUGCCUUAAAUAUGCAACAUACCAGCAAUAAAAAAAGAAGAACAGGCACUGCCAAUCUCUUUUUCCGUGACUAUUAGGAGCCAAAAAAAAAAAAAAA